AGCCACACCUUCUCUUCCAUAUCUUAUCGUAUUUCUUUCCUUCUCUUUCUACAAGCUCUGCCUAACUUUUCUGGUUCAGAUCUCCUCUUAAUGGCUUCUUCUCAAGGAUUGUGGCUUUCGCUGUUGAAUGGAUCGUUUUCCGAUCUAUUUUCAGAUGGUGGUUUCAGGGCUUGACUCAAAUAGGGACGUGUAGAUAUCAGAUCUUGUAAUGGUCGUGUAGCUUGCAACUUCGAACUGUCCAUUGAAUUGAUCUUCUGACUGGUUCGGGUCAUGAAAAAGCCAUUGAAAGUGUCUAUUCCUUUUUCUUUGGUAGCUGUUGCAGGUGGUGUAAAAGGACCUGUCACCUUAAGGAUCCGCUCGGCCAA
Molecule: non-coding RNA, 365 nt
Organism: Jatropha curcas
Lineage: Eukaryota; Viridiplantae; Streptophyta; Magnoliopsida; Malpighiales; Euphorbiaceae
Source: RefSeq, a predicted model, not a curated record